CGAUGGUAGUGUGGGGUUUCCCCAUGCGAGAGUAGGUCAUCGUCAAGC
RNAcentral lists this ribosomal RNA (48 nucleotides) under Azotobacter beijerinckii. The record is from RNAcentral. Lineage: Bacteria; Pseudomonadati; Pseudomonadota; Gammaproteobacteria; Pseudomonadales; Pseudomonadaceae.